GAUGAACGCUGGCGGCGUGCCUAAUACAUGCAAGUCGAGCGAACAGACGAGGAGCUUGCUCCUCUGACGUUAGCGGCGGACGGGUGAGUAACACGUGGAUAACCUACCUAUAAGACUGGGAUAACUUCGUGAAACCGGAGCUAAUACCGGAUAAUAUAUUGAACCGCAUGGUUCAAUAGUGAAAGACGGUUUUGCUGUCACUUAUAGAUGGAUCCGCGCCGCAUUAGCUAGUUGGUAAGGUAACGGCUUACCAAGGCAACGAUGCGUAGCCGACCUGAGAGGGUGAUCGGCCACACUGGAACUGAGACACGGUCCAGACUACUACGGGAGGCAGCAGUAGGGAAUCUUCCGCAAUGGGCGAAAGCCUGACGGAGCAACGCCGCGUGAGUGAUGAAGGUCUUCGGAUCGUAAAACUCUGUUAUUAGGGAAGAACAAAUGUGUAAGUAACUAUGCACGGCUUGACGGUACCUAAUCAGAAAGCCACGGCUAACUACGUG
RNAcentral lists this ribosomal RNA (497 nucleotides) under uncultured bacterium. RNAcentral describes it as "partial 16S ribosomal RNA". It matches the Rfam family "Bacterial small subunit ribosomal RNA", at positions 28 to 507 of the family's 1533-position model. The record is from RNAcentral.